RNAcentral lists this ribosomal RNA (474 nucleotides) under uncultured bacterium. RNAcentral's name for it is "SSU rRNA". It matches the Rfam family "Bacterial small subunit ribosomal RNA", at positions 26 to 518 of the family's 1533-position model. The record is from RNAcentral.
AGGACGAACGCUGGCGGCGUGCUUAACACAUGCAAGUCGAGCGGAAAGGCCCUUCGGGGUACUCGAGCGGCGAACGGGUGAGUAACACGUGAGCAACCUGCCCUUAGCUCCGGGAUAGCUCCGGGAAACCGGAAUUAAUACCGGAUACGACCACGGCCGACAUCUGCUGUGGUGGAAAGGAUUCCGGCUAAGGAUGGGCUCGCGGCCUAUCAGCUAGUUGGUGGGGUAAUGGCCUACCAAGGCGACGACGGGUAGCCGGCCUGAGAGGGCGACCGGCCACACUGGGACUGAGACACGGCCCAGACUCCUACGGGAGGCAGCAGUGGGGAAUCUUGCGCAAUGGGCGAAAGCCUGACGCAGCGACGCCGCGUGGGGGAUGAAGGCCUUCGGGUUGUAAACCCCUUUCAGCAGGGACGAAGCGAAAGUGACGGUACCUGCAGAAGAAGCGCCGGCUAACUACGCGCCAGCAGCCGC